CUCUCUGUGACUCCUACGGGAGGCAGCAGUGGGGAAUAUUGCACAAUGGGCGCAAGCCUGAUGCAGCCAUGCCGCGUGUGUGAAGAAGGCCUUCGGGUUGUAAAGCACUUUCAGUCGUGAGGAAGGUAGUGUAGUUAAUAGCUGCAUUAUUUGACGUUAGCGACAGAAGAAGCACCGGCUAACUCCGUGCCAGCAGCCGCGGUAAUACGGAGGGUGCGAGCGUUAAUCGGAAUUACUGGGCGUAAAGCGCAUGCAGGUGGUUUGUUAAGUCAGAUGUGAAAGCCCCGGGGCUCAACCUCGGAAUUGCAUUUGAAACUGGCAGACUAGAGUACUGUAGAGGGGGUAGAAUUUCAGGUGUAGCGGUGAAAUGCGUAGAGAUCUGAAGGAAUACCGGUGGCGAAGACGGCCCCCUGGACAGAUACUGACACUCAGAUGCGAAAGCGUGGGGAGCAAACAGGAUUAGAUACCCUGGUAG
This 475-nucleotide ribosomal RNA is filed under the name uncultured bacterium. RNAcentral describes it as "bacterial SSU rRNA". It matches the Rfam family "Bacterial small subunit ribosomal RNA", at positions 326 to 793 of the family's 1533-position model. The record is from RNAcentral.